GGGCCCUGGGCUCGGCUCCCACGCUCGGGCAGGCCUCCCGCCGGGGGAUCGGAGCUGCGGUCACUCGCGGCUUCGGGGCCGUGGCGUCCCGCGCACAGCUUCCGCGCCUCUGCAAGGCGCUCUGAAGAAAUGGAGGUGAACAGAGGAACAGCCACUCCCAGCAAGCAAGGGAAGAAGAAUCUUGAAAGCCUGUGACUUCACAGAGACUUCUUGAUUGAUGCCCCUGAAAUCAGCCUGCCAAGUGUGGCCUCUGCAGCAUAAAUACAAGGAGUCUGAUGACACAA
Molecule: long non-coding RNA, 284 nt
Filed under: Homo sapiens (human)
Lineage: Eukaryota; Metazoa; Chordata; Mammalia; Primates; Hominidae
Description: non-protein coding lnc-PCNX1-4:2
Source: RNAcentral